GACGAACGCUGGCGGCGUGCCUAAUACAUGCAAGUUGAGCGAUGAAGAUUGGUGCUUGCACCAAUUUGAAGAGCAGCGAACGGGUGAGUAACGCGUGGGGAAUCUGCCUUUGAGCGGGGGACAACAUUUGGAAACGAAUGCUAAUACCGCAUAACAACUUUAAACAUAAGUUUUAAGUUUGAAAGAUGCAAUUGCAUCACUCAAAGAUGAUCCCGCGUUGUAUUAGCUAGUUGGUGAGGUAAAGGCUCACCAAGGCGAUGAUACAUAGCCGACCUGAGAGGGUGAUCGGCCACAUUGGGACUGAGACACGGCCCAAACUCCUACGGGAGGCAGCAGUAGGGAAUCUUCGGCAGUGGACGAAAGUCUGACCGAGCAACGCCGCGUGAGUGAAGAAGGUUUUCGGAUCGUAAAACUCUGUUGGUAGAGAAGAACGGUGGUGAGAGUGGAAAGCUCAUCAAGUGACGGUAACUACCCAGAAAGGGACGGCGAACUACG
This 495-nucleotide ribosomal RNA is filed under the name uncultured bacterium. Its description in RNAcentral is "partial 16S ribosomal RNA". It matches the Rfam family "Bacterial small subunit ribosomal RNA", at positions 28 to 505 of the family's 1533-position model. The record is from RNAcentral.